ACGACUGAGAAGAAGAAUUAUUGCUGA
RNAcentral lists this small RNA (27 nucleotides) under Bombyx mori (domestic silkworm). RNAcentral describes it as "ovarian small RNA-11434". Lineage: Eukaryota; Metazoa; Arthropoda; Insecta; Lepidoptera; Bombycidae. The record is from RNAcentral.